GGUUUCACUGGUCGCACAACUGAACAAGUCCAGAAGGACAUUGAUAGAGAUCGAUAUAUGUCUCCAAUAGAAGCUGUUGAGUAUGGAAUAAUUGAUGGAGUUAUUGACAGAGAGAGCAUCAUUCCUUUGGCUCCUGUGCCAGAAAGGGUAAAACCUACACUAAAUUAUGAGGAAAUGCGUAAAGAUCCAAUGAAAUUCCUGACGCCGGAUGUCCCUGACGAUGAGAUAUACUAGCUUGUGCCAUUUGUUACAAGACAGACUCUCAGCGUAUUUGUUUAUUUUUCACAAAAAGAACUGUAAGGUUAGCGAGAACCCCCAACCAAAAGGCAUUUGUGUGCUAUGUUUGCAGAUAAAAUUGCUUUUAAGAAUGCAACUGGGCAGGCCAGCCGAAUUGCAAGGUUGCAGAGCUGAAAGGGGCCCCCUUUUUUUUUUUUUUCAUAAUUUAAGCUGUAACCUUCAAUGUAUACUUUAUAAGUUAUUGCAAACUUGACCAUUAAAUUGAUCUUGAAAGAAAACAUGGGAUUAUUAGUAUAAAAUACCACUUGGAUUUUUUUUAAGCUAAAAAAAU
Molecule: unclassified non-coding RNA, 568 nt
Filed under: Hevea brasiliensis (rubber tree)
Lineage: Eukaryota; Viridiplantae; Streptophyta; Magnoliopsida; Malpighiales; Euphorbiaceae
Source: RNAcentral